UGGGACAAUCUGAGGUGCCAUAAGCCUAUAAUUGGAUUGUUAUACCUCCAAUUGAGGAGUUCGUUUGCUCUUUCAAUGUAUCACUCCUUAUGCAAAUUCGAAUGUGCAGGAGAGGAGAGGAUCUUUUUUAACUGUUGUUUUUAGAAAUCAUGUGUACCAUUUGCUAAACCAUUGUCUAUAGAAAUCCUAAAACAGCUGAAAAGGAAUCAGAUAUGUGCAGUUCAUUUUGCCCCAUGAUUUUGUUGUUUUAGUAUGGGGCUGCUGAGUUUUUACCUUUUUAUUUUUUCGUUUAUUUGUUCUUCAGUUUUGUCAUCCAAUUUUUUCAGGUUGAUAUAUUAUCAUACGGAUCAAUUGAGCAAUGUGCGGAUGUGAAACUACUGCAUAAUCCAUCUUUCUGUGAUUCAAGUAUGCGUUUCAUA
Non-coding RNA from Coffea arabica (coffee), 419 nucleotides. The record is from RefSeq and is a predicted model, not a curated record. Lineage: Eukaryota; Viridiplantae; Streptophyta; Magnoliopsida; Gentianales; Rubiaceae.